Molecule: long non-coding RNA, 3290 nt
Organism: Tachysurus fulvidraco (yellow catfish)
Lineage: Eukaryota; Metazoa; Chordata; Actinopteri; Siluriformes; Bagridae
Exons: 9
Source: RefSeq, a predicted model, not a curated record
GGGCUUGAAGACAUCAGGACCAAGGCAAUGAAGAUUGUUGCUUAUUUUAGAUCAAGCACUGUUGCAAAGGAGCAACUUGUCAAUUUCCAGCUACAGAUGGGCAAACCUGGUCAUAAAUUACAGCAGGAAGUAGAGACGUGCUGGAACAGCACAUUUGACAUGCUGUCCAGACUUUAUGAACAGCGUGAACCACUUGGUGCUGCACUGGUGUCCCUGAGGACAGAUUUGGUUCCUCUAUCCUCAGCAGAGUAACACACAAUGUCUGAGUGCCUUGGUGUAUUGUCUCCACUAAAGGAUGCAACUGCUGAACUUUCUGCAGAAAAACUGUGUCUGGCUCCAAGGUCAUUCCCCUCAUUCGCAUGUUGAGGCAUGCUAUAUCUACAAAGCAGCAAGUGGUGACUGAUGAAAAGGCAGCACAGCUCUGCGUCAACCUCUUAACACUAAUGUCUGAGAGGUUGGCUCAUUAUGAAACAGCAAGCCAAUAAAAAAAACAUUGGGUUUUGCAAACCACCCAAUGCCCAGAAUGCUAUAAAAAGGCUUACAGCUGUGUGCAACAAAGGUAAGGGAAACAGCAUCUGACCCCAUACCAGAGCAUGGGGAAACCUCUACAGCAGCUGCAGGCACCUCAGGGACAGGACUGUGGGAUCUUCUUGAUCAACGGGUGAUGGAAACAAGAAAAGUGAAGAGUGCCAAUGCCAAUGCAACCAUUGAGAUUCAGCGCUACCUGAGUGAACCCUUAUUUUCUAAGGCUGGUGAAGUGGUCAGCAAGAAGAGAAACAGGAUCAGGCCCAGCACUGUGGAGAAAAUCUUGUUCCUAUAUAAAAAUCUAACCACAGGUUACCCAUAAAUCACUACAAUUAAUUCCCCCAAGUUUAUAGCAACAUUCAUUUCGAAUCACUAUGUAUGCAUUUCUUUGGACACCUGAUUGCUGACUGCUGGAAAAUUGUCCGUAGUGUGUGAUUUCGUGAGUGAAUGAGAGUGUGUGUGUCCUGCGAUGGGUUGGGACUCCGUCCAGAGUGUAUCCUGCCUUGAUGCCCGAUGACAGGCUCCCCAUGACCAGAGUAGUUAGGGUAAGCGAUAGAAAAUGAAUGAAUGAAUGAAUGAAUAAAGCACAAAGCCUUCAACAUUCAUGAGAUUGAUUUUUUUCUAAAAACAGACAAAAUGUCCACAUUCACCAUACAAAAAGUUAUCUUUAUUACAUUUUUGUUUGGAGUUACCUUGCGUAUGCAGUGGAUAAUGCUUUGGUCAUGUAUUUACUAUAUUGAUACGUUUAUUUAUUAAUCUAUCCUUAAUUUGUCAAUCCAUUAAUUUUUGCUUCUAAAAUUAAUACGUUGUUUGGUUGUGGAACUUUCUGUGACAGCGCUUUCACCAGCACAGAUCCUCAUCGAGCUCUGAUGUGAAAAGCUUCGAGUAAUGAACCUUUUUCCGAUACAAUUGGGUUGAAAGUUUCACUGCUUCAAGAAAGCUUCACUUCGCCAUCACUACUGAUUAAUUCGGUACGGGAGUAGAGAUAAAAGCCCCGCCCACACUGACAAUCAAUUGGUUGACUUACAGAAACAGACCAAUCAGGAUGUUCUCUGUCUUACAUGCGCUUAAUGAGACACGCGCACACUAGCACACGCAGGGUCUCUCGUUCCCCCGCCCUCUCUGUCGCGCAUGCGCGCUCUUGCUCGCUCGCUCUAGAUUCCGGCAGAUUGUAAAUAAAUCUAUGUUAAAAACACAUAAUGUCGGUAAACUAUAGUGAUUUUGUACAAACAUUCUGUAUGUUUUGUUCAUGAACAACUGAAGAGAGGAGACUGAAAGGACUGUAUACAAACCUGGUUAAACCUGUUUUACAGGAAGGAGGAGUCGUGUAUCUGAUCAUAACAGGUGAUGUGUUGUUUGGUAAUGAGUCGACUCUUUGAAUCGGCUCUUUGGCUGAACGUUGAGAGCUGACUCGCAAAUCUUUCUAAAAAUUAGACUGUGGUUAAUAAUUUACUGAAAUGUAAUUUAUUUUGAUUUGAGGAAAAAGCAGUGUCUAAAUGCUAAAAGAAUGCACGUGACUGAACAAGAUGGUAACAUGUUUAUUGGUACAGUACACUGUAAAAAAUCCAACUUGCAAAUUGUUAACUGCAACAGGUUUGUAGUGCAGUGUAAGCGUUGCAGAUUUGCCCACAGUAGCAGAGACGUCCUCUUGAAACACUACAGGCUUCGGCACUAUCAAGUGUGAUCCUAUCAGCAUCCUUGCUUGUAUACUGACCGUAUCUGCACUUUUAAAACUUUAGAAUAUGCGGCUCCGUGUUGUGUUGGCCCCUGGUAAUAUUACGAGGAUGGAUAUUUUGCAAAAUCUCACUUCGGUUGAACAUUUGAAAACAAUUCUUCAAGAAAGGCUUGAAAUCGAGGAUGAUUUUCUGAUUCAGUUUGAGGAUCCUGAGUUCGGAAAUGAACUUGACCAGUAUAACAGAGCUUCCACAAGAAAGAGCAGUGCUGAAGAUCAUCCAGAAAGUACCUGAAGAAUCAGAAAUAGAGACCUCGAAAAAAGUGCACAAUGACUCUAGAUGUUUAAAGAAAGCAAAGAGAUGUGAGGUAAACUUCCUCCCAGACAACCCAGUAGGGCAGACAGAUUGUUCCUUACAGAAGGAAAAAGAUGCACUACAAGAGGAAAUAAAGAAGAAACAUUUCAGCAUUACAAUUGUUGACUCCAAAAUGGAGCUGACAUUCUCUCUGAGAAGAAUGGAGAUAUUUAAUGAAGAACCUCUUGUGGCUGAAUGUUUUUGGAAGAUCAGGUCUCUGCCGAGUUUUACAGAAUUACACAAACCAACCUGAACAGUACCUUUUUGUCUCCCACAUGGUGGAGCCUAUGGAGAUGAAAUGAAGACCCUCCUAGACCAACUUGUUCAAGCUUCUGAUGUGCUUGCUCAAAGAAAAGCUACAGCUCUCAAAGGUCUACCUUUGUUUAUGAGGGAAAAGUCUGGAAACUUCCUGAAGAACUUGCCUGGACACAGACCCAGAAGACACUCAUACAAAAGGGUUGAAGAUGGGGGUCUUAACUGUCACUGAAGAUGACGUUGCCACCAUCCAUUCAAACCCAAAUGUAAGGUCCCUGUCUGUAGUUGUAGAGGAGCAGGUUGUGCUGGAUAAAGUGCAAGACUUCCCUACAGCUGUUGCUCUCCUAUUUGGCUUGUUUUAUGCCAUCAACAUUAUCUAUCAUAAAGAACUAAAAUAUACUUUUGAAACUAUUCAGAAAGUGUUUAUUGGCCUUGACCCCCAGUGUUCUGCAAGAGUCCAGUCCUUCAAAAACAAAUUGUUAA